CCCUUAGAUGUCCGGGCUGCACGCGCGCUACACUGAAGGAAUCAGCGUGCUAAAACCAUUGUCGAAAGGCAUUGGUAAACCCAUUAAAAUCCUACGUGAUUGGGAUCGGGAAUUGCAAUUAUUUCCCUUGAACGAGGAAUUCCCAGUAAGUGUGGGUCAUAAGCUCGCGUUGAUUACGUCCCUGCCCUUUGUACACACCGCCCGUCGCUGCCCGGGACUGAGCCGUUUCGAGAAAAGCGGGGACUGCUGCUGUCGGGGCUUUCGGGCCUUGGCUUCGGUGGAAACCGCUUUAAUCGCAGUGGCUUGAACCGGGCAAAAGUCGUAACA
This 327-nucleotide ribosomal RNA is filed under the name uncultured eukaryote. RNAcentral's name for it is "partial 18S ribosomal RNA". It matches the Rfam family "Eukaryotic small subunit ribosomal RNA", at positions 1470 to 1796 of the family's 1831-position model. The record is from RNAcentral.